Fukomys damarensis (Damara mole-rat) is the source of this 107-nucleotide small nuclear RNA. NCBI's taxonomy places the organism in Eukaryota, Metazoa, Chordata, Mammalia, Rodentia, Bathyergidae. The record is from Ensembl.
GUGCUCACUUCGGCAGUGCCUAUACUAAAACUGGAGCGAUACAGAGAAGAUUAGCAUGGUUCCUGCUCAAGAAUGCCAUGCAAAUUCAUGAUGUAUUCCAUAUUUUU